This 734-nucleotide ribosomal RNA is filed under the name uncultured bacterium. Its description in RNAcentral is "bacterial SSU rRNA". It matches the Rfam family "Bacterial small subunit ribosomal RNA", at positions 771 to 1503 of the family's 1533-position model. The record is from RNAcentral.
AACAGGAUUACAUACCCUGGUAGUCCACGCUGCCCACGAUGUCGAUUUGGAGGUUGUGCCCUUGAGGCGUGGCUUCCGGAGCUAACGCGUUAAAUCGACCGCCUGGGGAGUACGGCCGCAAGGUUAAAACUCAAAUGAAUUGACGGGGGCCCGCACAAGCGGUGGAGCAUGUGGUUUAAUUCGAUGCAACGCGAAAAACCUUACCUACUCUUGACAUCCAGAGAACUUUCCAGAGAUGGAUUGGUGCCUUCAGGAACUCUGAGACAGGUGCUGCAUGGCUGUCGUCAGCUCGUGUUGUGAAAUGUUGGGUUAAGUCCCGCAACGAGCGCAACCCUUAUCCUUUGUUGCCAGCGGUUCGGCCGGGAACUCAAAGGAAACUGCCAGUGAUAAACUGGAGGAAGGUGGGGAUGACGUCAAGUCAUCAUGGCCCUUACGAGUAGGGCUACACACAUGCUACAAUGGCGUAUACAAAGAGAAGCGACCUCGCGAGAGCAAGCGGACCUCAUAAAGUACGUCGUAUUCCGGAUUGGAGUCUGCAACUCGACUCCAUGAAGUCGAGAAUCGCUAGUAAUCGUAGAUCAGAAUGCCACGGUGAAUACGUUCCCGGGCCUUGUACACACCGCCCGUCACACCAUGGGAGUGGGUUGCAAAAGAAGUAGGUAGCUUAACCUUCGGGAGGGCGCUUACCACUUUGUGAUUCAUGACCGGGGGUGAAGUCGUAACAAGGUAACCAA